Molecule: ribosomal RNA, 237 nt
Filed under: uncultured bacterium
Lineage: Bacteria
Description: partial 16S ribosomal RNA
Rfam family: Bacterial small subunit ribosomal RNA
Source: RNAcentral
CGAACGGGUGAGUAACGCGUGAGGAACCUGCCUCAAAGAGGGGGACAACAGUUGGAGACGACUGCUAAUACCGCAUAAGCCCACAGGUCGGCAUCGACCAGGGGGAAAAGGAGCAAUCCGCUUUGAGAUGGCCUCGCGUCCGAUUAGCUAGUUGGUGAGGUAAUGGCCCACCAAGGCGACGAUCGGUAGCCGGACUGAGAGGUUGAACGGCCACAUUGGGACUGAGACACGGCCCAG